AUGGUUGACACCAACGACGGUGCGGAGGAGCACUCCGGUGUGAAUCCUAUCUCGUCUACGGCUGAUGGGGGAACCUCGGUCUCACGUGAGGAAUUCAAUGUGGCUUUAGACACAUUGAAAACCUCCAUGACGACCGAGGUUAAAAGCAUGUUUACUGAUUUCCUAGAAGGACUUAAACUAUCCACCUCGCCGAUGAAAGUGGGUGGUGAUCCCACUAACAAGGUGACAGAUGCCAACUCCGACAAGGGGGAAGCUAAUAGUGAAAAGGGUCCUUCUACUAGUGGUAGAAAUGGCACCGGCAUCUUUGCCCAUGUGGAACCCCCUACUUAUGGUGGACCGAUUCCCUCUACUCAUUUAAAUCAUGCCGGUCCUCCUCCUAAGAUUGUGAAAAAUGAGGAUUUUGAUGCUUGGGUUUAUCGUUUCAAGCGUCAUUUAAAACAUGUGAAUACUAAUCUUUGGAGAAUUAUAGAAGAAGGUUUCUAUCCACAUGACCCAAGCAACUUCACCCCUCGAGAAGCCGUGGAUAAUCAAUUCAAUGAGAGUGCUCUCUUCAUCAUCCAAGAUGCAAUCCUUCACGAAGAUCUCCCUCACCUUCGACCUCAUGCCAUGGCUAAAGACGCAUGGCAAUGUGUUGUGUCUCCCUACCGAGGAAGUGCUAGCAUUCAACGCUCCAACUAUGAAGUGGUGCAAGAUGAAGCCGAUGAGUUUGCAAUGAAAGAAGAUGAAGAACCUCGUGAGCUCUUUCGAAGAGUGACCAAACUCGCGGUCGCACUCCGAGAUCAUGGGAGCAAGGACACGGAUGACAAUUGGAUCAAGCGCAAGUUCCUCAAGGCCAUGAUGCCCUACAACAAGGCCAUGUCCUCCGUCAUUCGUCAAAGACCGGACUUCCACUCCAUGACCUCAAGUGAAGUGUUGGAUGAGUUUGUUGCAAUGAGCAUCUUGGACAAGACCGCCGACAAUGCGGUGCUCCGUUCUCAAAGGGCAAAGAAGCCCAACCUUGCCUUGAAGGCCAAGGUUAGUGUGGACGAAGAGGAAGAAGAGGAAGAAGAGGAGAGCAACCCCGAAUACACGAAAUGUGAUUAUCAUGAGCACAUGGCUCUUGCCUCAAGACAAUUUUGGAGCAAGAAGAAUACAAGACCCAACUUCAACAAGAACAACUCAAGUGGCCUCAAGGGCAAGCAACGAGUUAGAACUAGUUUCAACUGUGGCAAUGUGAGCCAUUUCGUUGCGGAUUAUCCUUACGAGAAGCGGGAAGACAAUGGUGGCAAGUUCAUCCGAAAAGACAAAGCCAAGUCCUUCCCCAACAAGAACAACUUCACUAAGAAGACUCCUACUCGCGGGUUGGUAGUUCAAGAAGAAUACCUUGAGGAUGACGAUGAUGAUGAAUAUAGUGAAACAAUGGCUAUGGCAUCCGUUGCCAUUGCCACAACUCCCCGGGUGUCUCUCUUCGCUUCACCCAACGAGAACAUCACCGCCAAGUGCCUCAUGGCUAAAGCCACCAACAAGGUAACCCCCAACAUCAAAACCACCAUUAUUCCUAAUCCUUCUUCGACGGUUGGCUUUGAUGAUGGUAAGGGGUUUAAUGAGGAGGUAAAUGAAUUUGAGUCCUUCAUGAGUAAGCUCAAGGGCAAAUCCAAGAAGCACUUCGUUGCUCUCUUGGAACAACUUGGUGAAGCCAAUGACAUGAUCGAGGCUCACGAAGAAACCAUCUCUAAGAUGGAAGGUCAUAGUCGUGACUAUGCGGAUGAGAUAUCGCAUCUCUCUAAUGCUCUUGAGGAAGAGCGUGGGCAUCGUUUGGCUCUUGAGGAGUCACACAACGAUGACCAUGCCAAAUUAAAGAAAGAUCUUGAUCAUGCUCUUGUUGUGUCUCGUGUACUAAAUUCCGAGAAGGCUAAACUUGGGGUUGAUCAUGCUAGACUCAAGGAGAAGUUUGAUGUACUUGACAAGGCCCAUAAGGUCUUGAAAGGUGCUCAUGCAAACCUCAAGGAGUCUCAUGCUCAACUCCAAGUUAAGCUAACCAAGGAAAAGGCCACAUUUCCUCACAUGGUCUUAAUUGAUGAUGCAAAUGCUGCUAACCCGUGUUGUGAGUAUGUGCAUCUUGUGGAGGAGAAUGCCAAGUUGAAGGAACAACUCGAGAAAGGUCUUGUGUCAUGCAUACAAGGUGAGAAGAACCUAAAUGACCUUUUGAGCAAUCAAAAGGAAGUUGUGGGCAAGGAGGGAGUUGGGUUCUCACCCAAGUCCAAGAACAAGAAGGAGAACGAGAAGAAGAAUAACAAGACCAAACGACCUCCCCCGCUUAAGCAAACUUUUGUGAAGGAGGGAGAGGGUGCUCCUAAGGAGAAGAAGAACAAUGCGAAGAGUGGUGAUGCCAAAAGGGGCAAGGCUAUCUCUCCCAACAAAGCCGGCGACUUUAACCCCUCUUAUGUGUUGUGUCGUGCUAGUGAUGGGCAUGUUUAUGCUAAAUUUGUUGGUUCUUCUUAUGAGUACAUUGAAUGGUCUAUUUGA
This 2505-nucleotide ribosomal RNA is filed under the name Triticum aestivum (bread wheat). RNAcentral describes it as "partial small subunit ribosomal RNA". Lineage: Eukaryota; Viridiplantae; Streptophyta; Magnoliopsida; Poales; Poaceae. The record is from RNAcentral.